RNAcentral lists this ribosomal RNA (155 nucleotides) under Solanum tuberosum (potato). Its description in RNAcentral is "rRNA 5_8S_rRNA". It matches the Rfam family "5.8S ribosomal RNA". From Rfam's summary of the family: 5.8S ribosomal RNA (5.8S rRNA) is a component of the large subunit of the eukaryotic ribosome. It is transcribed by RNA polymerase I as part of the 45S precursor that also contains 18S and 28S rRNA. Functionally, it is thought that 5.8S rRNA may be involved in ribosome translocation. Lineage: Eukaryota; Viridiplantae; Streptophyta; Magnoliopsida; Solanales; Solanaceae. The record is from RNAcentral.
GACUCUCGACAAUGAAUAUAUCAGCUCUCGCAUCAAUUAAGAACGUAGCGAAAUGUGAUACUUGGUGUGAAUUGCAAAAUAUCGUCAACCCUCGCUCUUUGAAUUCAUGUUGCACCCGAAGCCAUUAGGCCAAGGGGAGCUCUGCCUGGGCAUCA